Molecule: small nuclear RNA, 161 nt
Organism: Sorex fumeus (smoky shrew)
Lineage: Eukaryota; Metazoa; Chordata; Mammalia; Eulipotyphla; Soricidae
Product: U1 spliceosomal RNA
Exons: 1
Source: RefSeq, a predicted model, not a curated record
AUACUUACCUGGCACAGAGAUACCAUGACCAUGUCGGUAGUUUUCGCCGAAUUUGGCUUAUUCAUUGCAUUCUGUAUGUGCUGACUCUUAUGAUUUCUCCAAAUGUGGGAAACUUGACUGCAUAUUUUGUGAUAGUGUGAGAUUGUAUUUACGCUCUAUCC